UACGGAGAGUGCAAACGUUGUUCGGAUUCACUGGGCGUAAAGGGCACGUAGGCGGCUCGGCAAAUCGGUCGUGGAAUCUCGACGCUUACCGUCGAAACGGCGGCCGAAAAUACCGGGCUCGAGGGCGUGAGGGGUCACUGGAACUCCUGGUAAAGCGGUGAAAUGCGCAGAUAUCAGGAGGAACACCGGUGGCGAAGGCGGGUCUCUGGGCCGAAACUGACGCUGAGGAGCGAAAGCGUGGGGAGCAAACAGG
Molecule: ribosomal RNA, 253 nt
Filed under: uncultured bacterium
Lineage: Bacteria
Description: partial 16S ribosomal RNA
Rfam family: Bacterial small subunit ribosomal RNA
Source: RNAcentral